Molecule: long non-coding RNA, 779 nt
Organism: Nymphaea colorata (pocket water lily)
Lineage: Eukaryota; Viridiplantae; Streptophyta; Magnoliopsida; Nymphaeales; Nymphaeaceae
Exons: 3
Source: RefSeq, a predicted model, not a curated record
GGGAAAUUGGCGGGACGAUGAGGAAUACGAAAAGGGUGCUAUCAUCAGCGGAUUCAGCGCGAAGGUCAGCAGGAAGUCGUGUUCUAAGUUGCACUAUAUUGGUAACGACUAGCAGGCACCCAUGCAUCUGAACAUGCAUGAUGGUGCAAAAGCAUGGAUAGAUAGUUCAGCAUAAAUAAAGAUGGCACAGCUCACGAGAAGAAAAUCAUCAUACAAGAGGACAGGAAAUCACUAUCUGGAACCCAGAGGCAGCGGGAUCGCCGAAAAGCAAAAGGGCGGAAGGAAAAAAGUGAGAAGAAAUGAUAAAAUUCAACGCCAAGCAAAUGGAAGCGACCGCCUAAUCGGAUACCAACCCCAUGAAGAGGCGGAUGCUUGCGCCCUUCAGCAACCAGGAAUUUAUCGCUUACAUUCGGCGACUAAAACUCGGUAGAGUCAUUGGAAACGGAAGAAUGGCCUAGGCAGAUGAACACUUUGUAAUUCAGUUGCCCCUUUUUUACAAAUAAUUACAGUUCGAGUACGCGCUUCUGUUGAUAGGAGACCCGGCAGAUUGAGAAAACGCAGUGAGCAGAAAAGAAAACUUUGAAAUUAUAAGUUUCGGGGUUAGUUUUGGUGGAUUCAAGGAAAAGAAAACUUUUCGAUUAUGAAUUUCUGGUUUAGCUUUGGUGAAUCCAAGGCAGAGGGGAGCGACCACUGACCAGGCGCCUGUGGGAUCGCUCCAAUUAAUGAUAAGUCGAGGUUGAAUAUGAACAUGAUUGAACAAACAAAGCGGGAGGAGUUGU